RNAcentral lists this ribosomal RNA (253 nucleotides) under uncultured bacterium. RNAcentral describes it as "partial 16S ribosomal RNA". It matches the Rfam family "Bacterial small subunit ribosomal RNA", at positions 524 to 776 of the family's 1533-position model. The record is from RNAcentral.
UACGUAGGUGGCAAGCGUUAUCCGGAAUUAUUGGGCGUAAAGGGAACGCAGGCGGUCUUUUAAGUCUGAUGUGAAAGCCUUCGGCUUAACCGGAGUAGUGCAUUGGAAACUGGGAGACUUGAGUGCAGAAGAGGAGAGUGGAACUCCAUGUGUAGCGGUGAAAUGCGUAGAUAUAUGGAAGAACACCAGUGGCGAAAGCGGCUCUCUGGUCUGUAACUGACGCUGAGGUUCGAAAGCGUGGGUAGCAAACAGG